Molecule: long non-coding RNA, 1142 nt
Filed under: Mus musculus (house mouse)
Lineage: Eukaryota; Metazoa; Chordata; Mammalia; Rodentia; Muridae
Description: long non-coding RNA chr1:137971173-137972315
Source: RNAcentral
UCUUUCUUUCUUCUGCUCUAAACUUGAUACAAAAGACAUGUCAAGCUUAUAGUAGAUGUGUAAUAUAUGUAAUACAUUUUGGAUGAAUAAGUAAGUCAAAAACAUGUCUACUUAGCGAAAGCAGUGGAGGUUAACCUUGUGAUGGGAAGAGUAGAAUGGAGAGCAAGCUGCCAGAGUCUCCUGGGACUCCUCAGAGUCAUGAGCUUCUGUAUACUGAAUUAGAUCUUAGAUGGCUCCUUGAACAUCAGUGAGACACCAAAAAGGAACUAAGGUGAAGGUGGUGGCUGCUUCCCCUAUCUUAGUGGAAAGCAUAACAAGUGACAAUGCUCCCCUCUACCCUGCUGCUUCUGAGUAACCUCAGCAGGCAGAGUUCUCAUUGGAGCAAAAUGACAGUGUGACAAGAUAUGAUUGGCCAAGAAUUUAUGCCUAGGGAUCGGCUAAGCACUGUAUACAAAUGUAUGUGCUCUGCAAUAAAUUCAGAUCUGCACCCUGAUGUUGGUCUCCCAUGUCUGAUUCCUGGAAUUGGUGAUAUGUCUCUUUUGCCGCUCUCCCCCCAUCCUCCAUUCUGUUCCCACAGCAGUGUCUAUAAAUGAAUAACUAACUCAUAUAACUCAAUACUUUCAGCCACAGGCUGUGAGUCAAAACUAAGUUGUGGAUGUCUUGGGAAGAUCUAUAUCUGUAUCUGUAUCUAUGUCUAUAUCAUCUAUAUCUAUAUCAUCUAUAUCUAUAUCAUUUAUAUCUACAUCAUCUAUAUCUAUAUCUAUAUCUAUAUCUAUAUCUAUAUCUAUAUCUAUCUAUAUCUAUGGCACACAUAAUGUUUCUAAAUUAUUGGACCCUAGUGUUUAUGUUUGUAUUUAUUAUAUGUGAAUUUAACUACUCUGCUUAUUUUUUUUAAAGUUUCUUUGUUGUGAGUGUGUUCAUAUAUGUGUGCAUGUGUCUCUGCCUGCCACGGCUCACAUAUGAAGGUCAGAGGAAGACGCGCUGGAGUCUUUUCCUUCCUUUAACCAUAUGAGUACCAGGGGAUCAAACUCAGAUCAUCGGGUUUGGUGGCAAAUGCCCUCACCUGCUGAUCAUAUUGUUGGAUCUAACUGCACUACUUAGUCAAAUCUAAGAACCUAUUGUUGCCUCCAAAAUCCAUCAUU